UUCUGCUCUGCGGAAGUUCUAGAAAACGCACUCCAAGACCAAUGCAAAGCAAGCGGCGGGCAGCACUUAGCAGGGGUGACUCUCCUGUUGCCGAACCUGUCACUCAGCCUGGUGCUGCCAGAGUACCUCUCAGCUCGCCAAUACUGUCUGCUCAUUGCAACUAUUCAUUUCUACAGUGCUCAGGGCUCUGUGAGCUGGGACUGCCCUCAGCCACAUUGCAUGGGGUGAGGCACUCAGAGAAGGUGCUGAGUCUUGCCUAUGCUUUACCGUGCGCUGAGCUGCACCACCAACCCCAGGCGUGAAACUUUCCUCUUG
RNAcentral lists this long non-coding RNA (315 nucleotides) under Mus musculus (house mouse). Its description in RNAcentral is "predicted gene 1600". Lineage: Eukaryota; Metazoa; Chordata; Mammalia; Rodentia; Muridae. The record is from RNAcentral.